CUAACACAUGCAAGUCGAGGGGCAGCGGAGAGGUAGCAAUACCUUUGCCGGCGACCCGGCGCACGGGUGAGUAACACGUAUGCAAUCCACCUGUAACAGGGGGAUAACCCGGAGAAAUCCGGACUAAUACCCCAUAAUAUGGGCGCUCCGCAUGGAGAGCCCAUUAAAGAGAGCAAUUUUGGUUACAGACGAGCAUGCGCUCCAUUAGCCAGUUGGCGGGGUAACGGCCCACCAAAGCGACGAUGGAUAGGGGUUCUGAGAGGAAGGUCCCCCACAUUGGAACUGAGACACGGUCCAAACUCCUACGGGAGGCAGCAGUGAGGAAUAUUGGUCAAUGGUCGGCAGACUGAACCAGCCAAGUCGCGUGAGGGAAGACGGCCCUACGGGUUGUAAACCUCUUUUGUCGGAGAGUAAAGUACGCUACGUGUAGCGUAUUGCAAGUAUCCGAAGAAAAAGCAUCGGCUAACUCCGUGCCAGCAGCCGCGGUAAUACGGAGGAUGCGAGCGUUAUCCGGAUUUAUUGGGUUUAAAGGGUGCGUAGGCGGCACGCCAAGUCAGCGGUGAAAUUUCCGGGCUCAACCCGGAGUGUGCCGUUGAAACUGGCGAGCUAGAGUACACAAGAGGCAGGCGGAAUGCGUGGUGUAGCGGUGAAAUGCAUAGAUAUCACGCAGAACCCCGAUUGCGAAGGCAGCCUGCU
Molecule: ribosomal RNA, 696 nt
Filed under: uncultured Bacteroidales bacterium
Lineage: Bacteria; Pseudomonadati; Bacteroidota; Bacteroidia; Bacteroidales
Description: bacterial SSU rRNA
Rfam family: Bacterial small subunit ribosomal RNA
Source: RNAcentral